Molecule: long non-coding RNA, 2260 nt
Organism: Pan troglodytes (chimpanzee)
Lineage: Eukaryota; Metazoa; Chordata; Mammalia; Primates; Hominidae
Exons: 2
Source: RefSeq, a predicted model, not a curated record
AGACACGUCUCCCAGUGUUGUCGCGGCCUGCUAGGGCUCUCAGAACUCCCGCGAGGGUGCGGGUCUUCCUCCAGCGCUGGGCUACUUGGUCCCGCCCCUCAAGGGUUCACUACUAUUUUCCGCGUUGCUCUCAAUACCUCGUGGAUCUCUGCUUCUCUAAGUCUGAAACCACACUAGAAACAGCUGUUUUGUUUGGUGAGCCCCUACAUGGAUGUUUCCUUCCAGUUAAGGGGAGCCGGAUUCGGACCUUGGCGACAAACAGACGCCGGGGAACCCUCCGGUCCCACUGGCCACGUGCUCCAGGCUGACUCAUUCCUCCCCCCACCCCGCUCAAGGCUAGGAACAUACCUGCGCUAAGAACUGAGGCAGCUGCACUUCCGCAGACGUAAGAGACGAACUCCUGGGGCUCAAGGUCGGCUGGGGUUGGGUUCCUGUCGCCGCACGCGUGGCCCGCCCGAAACCCGCUACAAAGUAGUGGCGCGUCAGCCCUGGGGAAGCAAAGCGCAAAAUUGUUACGGUGCCCAGACCUGCGCCGGGAACCUCCGGCUGUUUCGCUGGGCGCGGCGCCUGUGCCUCGCGCAGCCCCGGGACGGGCACGGCCGCCCGCCCCCCGGGCCGCCGAGAGCUGCUCUACCCCUCCGUUCUGGCCGCCGGGAGCAGAGGAGCUCGAGGCGGGCAAAGCUCGUGGGGACACCGGGCGAGCCCAGCCCCUGAUCGGACCCGCGGGCCGGCCGGGCGCCCUCCCCGCGGGAGACCGAAAGCCGAAGACUGGAGAUGCACUCACCACGCAACUCCAGCUGACAAAGAGGCCUGCGACCUGCGACGGGCGCACAAACCAGAGAGGCGGCGCGGGGCGGGGAGGGAAGCAGGAGGGUCGCGGGGCCCGCAGCCAAUCCCGGGAAGACUCUGGGCAAGGGCGGGGCGCGCAGCCGAUCCCUGGAGAGUUCGGGGAGCUCAGCCAAUCCCGGGAAGAUCCUGAGCGGGGCGGGGUGGAGGGCCGCGGCACGCACAGCCAAUCCCGGAUGGGGUGGGACGGGCCCGGCCAUUGGCUGUGGGUGUCCGGGGCCGGCCUAGGUGUGGCUCAUGCGGUAGCACGGGGAUAAGCCAUGUCUGCGCGCGGAGCAUCCUUCUCUGAAUUAGAUUUUUCAGGCUACCUACCAAUCCCCGGCGUUGGUGAUUUUGGCGCUCUUGGGCCCUAGACCCUUCCUCGGGUGCCCUUCUGGAGAGGGCAUCGAGGUUACUCCAGGGUUGGCCUAAGGCCCUGAGAUUCCCUUUCCUAAAGCCACACUAAUCCGGUGUGUGUUCAUCAUCUGUGUCCGCCUAAACCGUAAGCUUAAAGAGAAGCCACGACCAUGUCUUGUUCAACAAACUCACUCCCGUGGCCUCUCCUAAAGCUAGAAGGACGACCUCCUUUCCUCAUGCUCCCUCUUUAUUCAUUUACAGAGUCCAAUAAGUAGACCAUAAUCAGUUGGAGGGUAGGAGUUGGGGAGGUUGAGAAGGCAACCAUAGCAAUCUCAAGGUAACAGGCUCAAACUUGGCAAACAAAUAAGUAGAAGAAAAUUGGAGUAUAUGCUAAAAGGAGAACUUCUAUUGCUGUUUCACGUACUUACCAUCUGCUAACAAAUCUAAUCCUCAAAAUAUAUUUAAUCAUCUCCAAAUUAUAGAUGGGGAAAUAAUUAUGUUAUGUAACUUGCCCAAAGUCACAGAGCAGCUAGCCAGUGGUAGAUCCAGGAUUUGAACUCAAGCAGCCUGAAGGCAGAGCCCCUCAAACAACAUGCUACCUAGCCUUUCCCCAGGUAUUGGGGGUGGAGCAGGAAGGGAAACCAAAAAAUAGCCUACACUUGGUUAACAGAUCAAGACAGGCAGCUCUGGUGGGGUGUGGCUUUGUAAACAGAAAGAACAACUCGUCCAGAGCCCCAAGGUAAAACAGGAAAGGGCUUUACCUGUUUAAGGACUCCCAGAAAUGGAACUUAAGGAGCAGAGUGGCCUGAGAUGAGAAUGGCUUGGGGCCAGACCAUGCAGGAAACCCUGGAAGAGUUGUUUUGUUUUGUUUUGUUUUUGAGAUGGAGUCUCGCUCUGUUGCCCAGACUGGAGUGUAGUGGCACGAUCUUGGCUCACUGCAGCCUCCGCCUCCCAAGUUCAAACUAUUCUCGUCUCGGCCUCCCGGGUAGUUGGGAUUACAGGCAUGCACCACCAUGCCUGGUUAAUUUUUGUAUUUGUGAAAGAGUUUAUACUUUGUGCUAAGAAUGAUGGAAAGCUG